UUGUUGCAGUUAAAACGCUCGUAGUCGGGUGUUGGGGGUGGUUGUCUGGUUGGGUGGAAACUCGUACUGGACAGCAGUCCUAUUUUGGGGGGGGAUAGAAUGAGGAUUCUGCACUCCCCGCGUUACUGUGAGGAAAUUAGAGUGUUCAAGGCAGGCAGUUGCUUGAAUACGUUAGCAUGGAAUAACGAGAUUGGGGUGGCUUGGUCUUGUUGGUUGGCAAAGCCAUGAGAUUGAUAGGGCCAGUCGGGGGCAUUAGUAUUUGGCAGUCAGAGGUGAAAUUCUUGGAUUUGCCAAAGACUAGCGGGGGCGAAAGCAUUUGCCAAGGAUGGUUUCGUUGAUCAAGAACGAAAGUUAGGGGAUCGAAGACGAUCAGAUACCGUCGUAGUCUUGACUAUAAACGAUGCCGGCAGGGGACUGGGUUGGGAGUAAAGCCCGACCCAGGACCCAGGGAGAAAUCAUAGCGUUUGGGUUCUGGGGGGAGUAUGGUCGCAAGGCAGAAACUUAAAGGAAUUGACGGAAGGGCACCACCAGGAGUGGAGCCUGCGGCUUAAUUUGACUCAACACGGGAAAACUCACCAGGUCCGGACAUGGGAAGGAUUGACAGAUUGAGAGCGCUUUCAAGAUUCUGUGG
RNAcentral lists this ribosomal RNA (631 nucleotides) under uncultured eukaryote. Its description in RNAcentral is "bacterial SSU rRNA". It matches the Rfam family "Eukaryotic small subunit ribosomal RNA", at positions 610 to 1273 of the family's 1831-position model. The record is from RNAcentral.